This 1381-nucleotide ribosomal RNA is filed under the name Urceolus sp. RNAcentral's name for it is "SSU rRNA". It matches the Rfam family "Eukaryotic small subunit ribosomal RNA", at positions 746 to 1787 of the family's 1831-position model. Lineage: Eukaryota; Euglenozoa; Peranemea; Peranemida; Peranemidae. The record is from RNAcentral.
CGUUCGUUCCCGUGAAUAAAUCGAUGUGUUCAAAGCGUCCGACAUGUCGGGCCGAACGUUCGUAGCAUGGAACAACAGAGCAUCGACCGGUGAGCUCUGCAUCUGGCCGUCUUCAAAGCUCAUCUCGGGCAAUGCGUCACGCGACCAGUGGCCGGCCGGUCUCCCCCACGCCCAGGGGAGGUUGCGGGUUCCUUUUGGGCAGCUCUCCGCUGCUCUUGGGGGGCCGGGCCGACCAAAACGCGGUGGGGAGCACCAGCCUUUUGCUGGCGUGUGUUCGAUCGGAAGCAAGGAGCCCCGCCGGGGUGAUUCCUAUUGUGCCGCGAGAGGUGAAAUUCUUAGACCGACAUAGGAGGCCCUGCCGCGAAAGCAGUUCACCAGACGGUGUCUGUCUAUCAAGAACGAGAGUCUGGGGAUCGAAGAUGAUCAGAUACCGUCGUAGUCCAGCACCGUAAACUGUGCCGGCUCAGCGUUGGAACGGUUCUGUUCCUGAAACGAAUCUUCCAGCACUUCUUCCCCAUACCGAGAAAUCCAGAGCUUCUGGGUUCAGGGGGAAGUACUGUCGCAAGGCUGAAACUUGAAGGAAUUGACGGAAUGACACCACCAGGCGUGGAUUAUGCGGCUUAAUUUGACUCAACACGGGGAAUCUUACCAGGCCAGGACGAUGCCUGGAUUGACAGAUUGACAGCUCUUUCUCGAUUCGUCGGACGGUGGUGCAUGGCCGUUCUUGGUUGGUGCUGUGAUGUGUCUGGUUCAUUCCGAUAACGAGCGAGAUGCCGGCCUCUCAAUAGACGCCACUGUCGAAAUCUGUAGGAGCGAUCGUAUCGCAGGGGGGCAGUUCUCGGCACCGGCGCUCGGGGCCCUCCUCGUUGGGGGCCCAGGGCGACUCUGCCAAGGGGUGUUCUCCCGGGUACAGACGUAUCGCUCCGAGACGGUGCGCUGCUUCUCCGAGGGACUCGUUGGGGAUUCUCAACCCUCACGAAGAUCGUGUGCAACAGCAGGUCUGUGAUGCUCCUAGAUGUCCUGGGCUGCACGCGCAAGACACUGGUGCAGCAAGCAAGCGAAUCCUCUCUGUGCGGGUCUGCGGACUCGCCACUGGGGUCCAGCCUUGACAGGGGUUGGCAAUCUGCGAGCCUGUGCAAAACCGUGCUGGGGAUCGAGGAUUGUAAUUGUUCGCCGUGAACGAGGAAUGCCUAGUAGGUGCCAGUCAUCAGCUGGCUCCGAUUACGUCCCUGCCAUUUGUACACACCGCCCGUCGUUGCUACCGAUGAUGCAGGAACAGAAGACGACGGAGGACCGGCGGGUCGUGACUGGGUGGUCCAAAAGCCAUCCGACGCCCGCUGCUCUGAAUUCGUCUAAUGUUCAUUUGUUAGAGGAAGCAAAA